Leopardus geoffroyi (Geoffroy's cat) is the source of this 1365-nucleotide long non-coding RNA. RefSeq lists it as uncharacterized. NCBI's taxonomy places the organism in Eukaryota, Metazoa, Chordata, Mammalia, Carnivora, Felidae. The record is from RefSeq and is a predicted model, not a curated record. The transcript is spliced from 2 exons.
AAAAAAUGCCGGGGAGCAGGUCUGCCUGUCCAGGGAGCCACCGUGACCCUGGGGCAUGCACCUGGCCACAGGAUUUUCUGGAAGACAGGCUGUUUGCUCCACUUGGAAAGGUGAGGGAGAGAAGGAAACGAACCAGGCACCCGGCAAGGAGGUGCAACACUUGUGUUUGGGGACCGCCUAAACCGGAAACAAGCCCCAGGCGAACGAACGAACGUUUAACGACCUGCGCUCUGCAGGGGGGACGGGGUGGGGUGGUGAGGGGGGGAAGCGAGUCCUGAUGCGAAGUGUCCGCCACUCUCCCUCGUGUACAUCCUGCCGCUGUGGCUGCUUCCAAGCUGUUAACACGACGCCCCUCCACGCGGAGCUGAACAGAGACCGGCUCUCAGGGACUGGCUCGUUUUGCUUCCAGCACGCGAACCCGAGUCGUGAGUAAAUUCGCGAGUAGUCUGUCCUUGGCGCCUGGGAGACGCUUGCGCACGCCUGGUGACCCAGUGUGUGUGAUGGGAGAGCUGCUCACAGGCCAGAAGGUCAGACUGAAAGAAAAACUCCCUGCCAAGUGCCUAGGGAGACGCUGAGCCCAAGAAGUGGGGGGUCAGAGCCCCCUCCGGCCUCCUCUCCAGACACCAGAACUUACUGCCGCUGCAGACUUUUCAAGAGUAACCGCUUCACCUGCCGGGGGCUCUCAGACGUGGAACAGAAGCCACUGGAUGGACAAAUCACCCCGUGCUGCCCAGGUCAUGAGGACGGACCCUAACCCAGUAUGACUGGGGUCCUUAUCAGAGGAGUUUAGGACACAGACGCGCACAGAGGGACGAUCGUGUGAGGACACAGGGAGGAGACUGCGUCUAUGCCCCACGAGAGACGCCUCGGAAGGAACCAGACCAACUUGCCCACGGCUGGACCUCAGACUUCCAGCCUCCAGAGCCGUGAGACAACACGUGUCCGGUGUGUUAGCCGCCCUGCGUGUGGUCCUUUGUCGCGGCAGUCCUAGGAGACUAACGUGGGGUCUGGACUCAAUGCCACGUGGGGUCCUGGAUUCAAUCCUGGAACGGGAAAAGGACACCCGUGGAAAAACGUGAAACACAAACGAAGCCUUUUGUUUCGCUAAUGGUGUUGCACCAAUGUUCCUUUCCUCUUUUUGACAAGUGACAGUAAUUUAAGAUGUUAACAGGAGAGGAAGCUGAGUUAAGUGUAUACGGAACUUCCUGCACUAUCUUUGCAAUUAAUCUGUAAAUCCAAAUGGUUGCACAACAGCGUGAAUGUGAUUGAUGCUGCUGAGCUGUGUGCUUAAAAAUGAUUAAGACAAAAAAUUCUAUGUCGUAUGUGUGUCUUUUACCACAAUAAAACAACUCUGUCAAAAAUCUA